Molecule: long non-coding RNA, 744 nt
Filed under: Homo sapiens (human)
Lineage: Eukaryota; Metazoa; Chordata; Mammalia; Primates; Hominidae
Description: HSALNT0214513
Source: RNAcentral
GGAGAGGUUGCGUAAAGGUGCCGGCCUGCUGCUGGCCGGGGCUGGCAGCCUUUCAGCCGCCGCGGAUAAAGUUUGAACUUUUGCCGGGAGUGUCCCUCCAAAACGAUCAUCAAUCAGACAGAAUAGCUGCAAAUACCAACUCACAGACCAGGUUGGGAAUUAGGGUGAUAGGGUCUUGCUAUGUUGCCUCGGCUGGAAUGCAGUGGCUGUUCAUAGACAUUAUCACAGCACACUACAGUCUCAAACUCCUGGACUCAAGCAAUCCUCCUGCCUCAGCCUCCUGAGUAGCUAGGACUACUGGGAUGCACUACUGCUCUUGGCAAAUUAAGGAUUUUGAGAUGGAGAGACUAUCCUGGAUUAUCUGAUGGGCUUAAUCAUUGACAAAGGUUCUUAUAUAAGGAAAAGUCAAUGUGAUAAUGGAAGCAGAUUUGAAGAUGCUGUGCAACUGGCUUUGAAGAUGGAGGACGGGGCCACAAGCCAAGGAUUGUUGGCAGCCUCUAAGCUGGAAGAGGUAAGAAGCAUAUUCUCCUGUGGCACCUCCGGGAGAAAUGCAGUACUGCCUAUACCUUGACUUUAGCCAAGUGAAACUAAUUUUAGACUUCUCACCUCCAGAACUGUAAGAUAAUAAAUUUGUGUUGAUUUAAGACACUAUGUUUGUGGUAAUUGGUUACAGCAAUAGGAAACUAAUAGACCAGGCAUUAUGUUAAGUGCUUUAUAUCAUUAAAGAAAUGUAUACAAAUCCAC